CAGCAGCCGCGGUAAAACGAAGGGUGCAAGCGUUACUCGGAAUUACUGGGCGUAAAGCGUGCGUAGGUGGUGGUUUAAGUCCGUUGUGAAAGCCCUGGGCUCAACCUGGGAAUUGCAGUGGAUACUGGAUCACUAGAGUGUGGUAGAGGAUAGUGGAAUUUCCGGUGUAGCAGUGAAAUGCGUAGAGAUCGGAAGGAACAUCUGUGGCGAAGGCGACUAUCUGGGCCAACACUGACACUGAGGCACGAAAGCGUGGGGAGCAAACAGGAUUAGAUACCCCCGUAGUCCCUGUCUCUUAUAC
RNAcentral lists this ribosomal RNA (301 nucleotides) under uncultured bacterium. Its description in RNAcentral is "partial 16S ribosomal RNA". It matches the Rfam family "Bacterial small subunit ribosomal RNA", at positions 509 to 807 of the family's 1533-position model. The record is from RNAcentral.